Molecule: ribosomal RNA, 258 nt
Filed under: uncultured bacterium
Lineage: Bacteria
Description: partial 16S ribosomal RNA
Rfam family: Bacterial small subunit ribosomal RNA
Source: RNAcentral
UACAGAGGUCCCAAGCGUUGUUCGGAUUCACUGGGCGUAAAGGGUGCGUAGGUGGCAGGGUAAGUUUGAUGUGAAAUCUCCGAGCUUAACUCGGAAACUGCAUUGAAUACUAUCCUGCUCGAGGGUUGGAAGGGGGACUGGAAUUGCGUCGGUGUAGCAGUGAAAUGACGUAGAUAUCGAGAGGAACACCAGUGGCGAAAGGCGAGUCCCUGGACAACACCUGACACUGGAGGCACGAAAGCGUGGGGAGCGAACAGG